Molecule: long non-coding RNA, 385 nt
Filed under: Mytilus galloprovincialis (Mediterranean mussel)
Lineage: Eukaryota; Metazoa; Mollusca; Bivalvia; Mytilida; Mytilidae
Source: RNAcentral
ACACAUUACAAAACGGUAGCCAAUUUGUCCAAACGUCUGAAAACGUCUAAAAUCCUAAAGACGCUAAUUUCCGACGUUACAUGUGCUAAAGUUUCAAUUAAAUGUUCAUGAUAAUUAAAAACAAAUCGUGUUAUAAAAUUUGGAAAAAGAGGUUGAUGAUUGCUGCCGAAAAAAAAAGAAUAGUGCAUGUUGCUAUAGACUCCGCCCGGGGACAUAGGUUCGACACAGGUUAAAUUUUGCAAUUUUUAUUAAUCGUUUAUAGCUUUAACGAUUUAUUUAAAAGAAUUGGGAAAUGGGGAAAACAUCCCAUUACAUGAACUUCGUCCAACUUUUGCAAAGACAAAUUGGAGACACCAAGACAGUCCUCUAAAUGUAAAAUGCGAAU